This is a non-coding RNA of Aethalodelphis obliquidens (Pacific white-sided dolphin), 588 nucleotides long. The record is from the annotation of a RefSeq genome assembly. Lineage: Eukaryota; Metazoa; Chordata; Mammalia; Artiodactyla; Delphinidae.
AUGAGUGUUCUGAACAUGCACCAACAUCACCUGAGGCGAGGCCAUCACCUAAAGAUAUUGACUCUUCUGCCACUUCUCCUGGGAUUAGGCUCUGUGUUUGGUGCUCUCCUAUCUCAAAAGCCAAGCAGGGACACCUGUGAAUACGGGACCUCCGUGAUGAUCCAGUGUUAUAGGUCGAUGGCCAGCUCACCUUCAUGUACUGGUACCGUCAGUUUCCAGGACAGAGUUUGGUGCUGAUGGCAACUGUGAAUCAGGGCUCUGAGGCCACUUAUGGGAGUGGGCUCACCAAGGACAAGUUUCCCAUUCGCCGCCCAAACCUGCCGUUCUCAACUCUGACUGUGAGCAACGUGAGCCCCGAGGGUAGCAGCUCUUUACUUCUGCAGCGCUGGAGACGCGUGCUGGGCACAGAUCGAAGGUCCCAGCAAGAACCCCUGCAACCUCCUACCCGACUCCAUCCAGGUGAGCCUGAGAACCCUGGGAAGCAGGCUGGAGGGGGGAAACCACAGCUCUUGGGCAGAUGCAGCUGCCUGUGUACUGGUGGGUGGGGAUGGGUGUGAAUGGGAAAUGGGCAAAUUCACCUACAAAUAA